UUGGACAGUACUCGCAUGUAUGUGCACAUGCACGCAUCUGUGUAUGCAUGCACUAGCAGUAUGACCCGGCGUUGCCAGGUCAUAGUGCUAGUUAAAUAUAAAACUGAUCAAGACGGUUUCUAUGGAUAGCAGUAAUGGUAUUCAUUUUGAUCUGAAUUUAAAAGUAGGCUUAGCACUGUAAAACAAGAGUGUAGUAAGACAACAGAGUAAUGCUGGUUAGUAAAAGUUAGGAAAUUAAAAUCAAUUAAGAACAAGAUGUAAAAUUGAAGGUUAAAAAAGAGA
Molecule: long non-coding RNA, 282 nt
Organism: Octopus sinensis (East Asian common octopus)
Lineage: Eukaryota; Metazoa; Mollusca; Cephalopoda; Octopoda; Octopodidae
Exons: 3
Source: RefSeq, a predicted model, not a curated record